RNAcentral lists this ribosomal RNA (254 nucleotides) under uncultured bacterium. Its description in RNAcentral is "partial 16S ribosomal RNA". It matches the Rfam family "Bacterial small subunit ribosomal RNA", at positions 524 to 776 of the family's 1533-position model. The record is from RNAcentral.
UACGUAGGGUGCGAGCGUUGUCCGGAAUUAUUGGGCGUAAAGAGCUCGUAGGCGGUCUGUCACGUCGGUUGUGAAAACUUGGGGCUUAACCCUGAGCUUGCGGUCGAUACGGGCAUGACUUGAGUUCGGCAGGGGAGACUGGAAUUCCUGGUGUAGCGGUGAAAUGCGCAGAUAUCAGGAGGAACACCGGUGGCGAAGGCGGGUCUCUGGGCCGAUACUGACGCUGAGGAGCGAAAGCGUGGGGAGCGAACAGG